UAAGGAAUAUUGCUCAAUGGGAGAAAUCCUGAAGCAGCAACGCCGCGUGGAGGAUGAAGGGUCUAUGACUUGUAAACUCCUGUAAAGAAGGAAAAAAUUCCCAUUUGAUGGGAGAUGAUGGUACUUCUGGAGUAAGCCCCGGCUAACUACGUGCCAGCAGCCGCGGUAAUACGUAGGGGGCAAGCGUUGUCCGGAUUUACUGGGUGUAAAGGGUGCUCAGGCGGAUUUGUAAGUCAGAGGUGAAAUCUUACAGCUUAACUGUGAAACUGCCCUUGAUACUGCAGCCUAGAGUAUGGAAGAGAGUGAUGGAAUAUCUGGUGUAGCAGUGAAAUGCGUAGAUAUCAGAUAGAACACCAAUGGCGAAGGCAGUCACUUGGUCCAUUACUGACGCUAAAGCACGAAAGCGUGGGUAGCAAACA
RNAcentral lists this ribosomal RNA (419 nucleotides) under uncultured bacterium. Its description in RNAcentral is "bacterial SSU rRNA". It matches the Rfam family "Bacterial small subunit ribosomal RNA", at positions 355 to 774 of the family's 1533-position model. The record is from RNAcentral.